This 636-nucleotide ribosomal RNA is filed under the name Xylariaceae sp. LGMF1119. RNAcentral's name for it is "eukaryotic LSU rRNA". The stretch from base 286 to 439 matches the Rfam family "5.8S ribosomal RNA". The record is from RNAcentral. Lineage: Eukaryota; Fungi; Ascomycota; Sordariomycetes; Xylariales; Xylariaceae.
CGAUUGAAUGGCUCAGUGAGGCUUCCGGACUGGCUUAGACUAGUCGGCAACGACCGGUCAGAGCCGGAAAGUUAUCCAAACUCGGUCAUUUAGAGGAAGUAAAAGUCGUAACAAGGUCUCCGUUGGUGAACCAGCGGAGGGAUCAUUACUGAGUUCUAAACUCCAACCCUAUGUGAACUUACCACUGUUGCCUCGGCGCUGUGCCUGCGAUAGCAGGCCCGCCGGUGGACCACUAAACUCUGUUAUACCUACUGUAUCUCUGAAUUUAUAACUGAAAUACGUUAAAACUUUCAACAACGGAUCUCUUGGUUCUGGCAUCGAUGAAGAACGCAGCGAAAUGCGAUAAGUAAUGUGAAUUGCAGAAUUCAGUGAAUCAUCGAAUCUUUGAACGCACAUUGCGCCCAUUAGUAUUCUAGUGGGCAUGCCUAUUCGAGCGUCAUUUCAACCCUUAAGCCCCUGUUGCUUAGUGUUGGGAAUCUGCGUUACGGCGCAGUUCCUCAAAGUGAUUUGGCGGAGCUAGUGCAUACUCUAGGCGUAGUAAAUACCAUUCUCGCUUUUGUAGUAGGCCUGGCGGCUUGCCGUAAAACCCCUAUACUUCUAGUGGUUGACCUCGGAUUAGGUAGGAAUACCCGCUGA